This is a long non-coding RNA of Bos taurus (domestic cattle), 346 nucleotides long. Lineage: Eukaryota; Metazoa; Chordata; Mammalia; Artiodactyla; Bovidae. The record is from Ensembl.
GCUGACAGCUGCUGAUGCACAGGUCAUGUUGGAGGAGGCCCAGCUUGGGCAGAGCAGAGAUGGGCUUUGUUUCUCCAGUUCAGUGUUGGACAACCUGUUCUACCACAGGCUGGAGGAUGCCACACCCCUGCGUAAUUUGCACUGCAGAAUGAGGCUUUGCCGAACGGGCACCGCCAUCAUCGGAACAUCGACCUGCACUUGGCCCAUGGGCCGGCUCUGCUCAUCCCCGGCCCAGCCUGUCCGCCUCCUGCCUUCAUGCACGACCUUGGAAGCCUCACUUCUGAGACUCAGGGGUCCUCGGCCACGCUUUCCCCACAGACCUCUCCACCACCCAUCCCAUCCCAUC